CCAGGGUUGGCCGAGCGGUUGAGGCAGCGAACUCAUAAUUCGCGCAAGGCAGGUUCGACUCCUGCACCCUGGA
RNAcentral lists this transfer RNA (73 nucleotides) under Kamptonema sp. SIO1D9. RNAcentral describes it as "tRNA-Ile". It matches the Rfam family "tRNA". Rfam says of the family: Transfer RNA (tRNA) molecules are approximately 80 nucleotides in length. Their secondary structure includes four short double-helical elements and three loops (D, anti-codon, and T loops). The record is from RNAcentral. RNAcentral also lists the same sequence under 3 other names. Lineage: Bacteria; Bacillati; Cyanobacteriota; Cyanophyceae; Oscillatoriales; Microcoleaceae.